AGUGAACGCUGGCGGUAGGCCUAACACAUGCAAGUCGAACGGCAGCACAGUAAGAGCUUGCUCUUACGGGUGGCGAGUGGCGGACGGGUGAGGAAUACAUCGGAAUCUACUUUUUCGUGGGGGAUAACGUAGGGAAACUUACGCUAAUACCGCAUACGACCUACGGGUGAAAGCAGGGGAUCUUCGGACCUUGCGCGAUUGAAUGAGCCGAUGUCGGAUUAGCUAGUUGGCGGGGUAAAGGCCCACCAAGGCGACGAUCCGUAGCUGGCCUGAGAGGAUGAUCAGCCACACUGGAGCUGAGACACGGUCCAGACUCCUACGGGAGGCAGCAGUGGGGAAUAUUGGACAAUGGGCGCAAGCCUGAUCCAGCCAUACCGCGUGGGUGAAGAAGGCCUUCGGGUUGUAAAGCCCUUUUGUUGGGAAAGAAAAGCAGCAGGUUAAUACCCCGCUGUUCUGACGGUACCCAAAGAAUAAGCACCGGCUAACUUCGUG
This 492-nucleotide ribosomal RNA is filed under the name uncultured bacterium. Its description in RNAcentral is "partial 16S ribosomal RNA". It matches the Rfam family "Bacterial small subunit ribosomal RNA", at positions 29 to 507 of the family's 1533-position model. The record is from RNAcentral.